GACGAACGCUGGCGGCGUGCUUAACACAUGCAAGUCGAACGGUAAGGCCCUUCGGGGUACACGAGUGGCGAACGGGUGAGUAACACGUGGGUGAUCUGCCCUGCACUUCGGGAUAAGCCUGGGAAACUGGGUCUAAUACCGGAUAGGACUCCUGGCUUCAUGGUUGGGGGUGGAAAGCUUUUGCGGUGUGGGAUGGGCCCGCGGCCUAUCAGCUUGGUGGUGGGGUAAGGGCCUACCAAGGCGACGACGGGUAGCCGGGCUGAGAGGGUGACCGGUCACACUGGGACUGAGAUACGGCCCAGACUCCUACGGGAGGCAGCAGUGGGGAAUAUUGCACAAUGGGCGCAAGCCUGAUGCAGCGACGCCGCGUGAGGGAUGACGGCCUUCGGGUUGUAAACCUCUUUCAGCCAUGACGAAGCGCAAGUGACGGUAGUAGCAGAAGAAGGACCGGCCAACUACGUGCCAGCAGCCGCAGUAA
This 478-nucleotide ribosomal RNA is filed under the name uncultured bacterium. Its description in RNAcentral is "partial 16S ribosomal RNA". It matches the Rfam family "Bacterial small subunit ribosomal RNA", at positions 28 to 523 of the family's 1533-position model. The record is from RNAcentral.